GUGGGGAAUCUUCCGCAAUGGACGAAAGUCUGACGGAGCAACGCCGCGUGAGUGAAGAAGGUUUUCGGAUCGUAAAGCUCUUUCGUUAGGGACGAACGUGCUCUUUGUGAAUAAUGAGGAGUAAUGACGGUACCUAAAUAAGAAGCCCCGGCUAACUCCGUGCCAGCAGCCGCGGUAAUACGGAGGGGGCUAGCGUUGUUCGGAAUUACUGGGCGUAAAGCGAGCGCAGGCGGGAUAUCAAGUCUGUCUUAAAAGUGCGAGGCUCAACCUCGUGAGGGGACAGAAACUGGUAUUCUUGAGUGUCGGAGAGGAAAGUGGAAUUCCAAGUGUAGCGGUGAAAUGCGUAGAGAUUUGGAAGAACACCAGUGGCGAAGGCGACUUUCUGGACGAUGUCUGACGCUGAGGCGCGAAAGCUAGGGGAGCGAACGGGAUUAGAAACCCUGGUAGUCC
RNAcentral lists this ribosomal RNA (450 nucleotides) under uncultured bacterium. RNAcentral's name for it is "partial 16S ribosomal RNA". It matches the Rfam family "Bacterial small subunit ribosomal RNA", at positions 354 to 796 of the family's 1533-position model. The record is from RNAcentral.